This is an unclassified non-coding RNA of Callithrix jacchus (white-tufted-ear marmoset), 209 nucleotides long. It matches the Rfam family "Metazoan signal recognition particle RNA". From Rfam's summary of the family: The signal recognition particle (SRP) is a universally conserved ribonucleoprotein. The record is from Ensembl. NCBI's taxonomy places the organism in Eukaryota, Metazoa, Chordata, Mammalia, Primates, Cebidae.
GAUCAGAAGUUCUGGACUAUAGUGUGCUGUACCGUCUGGGAGUCUUCACUAUGUUUAGCAUUAGCGUGAUUACCUCCUGGGAGUGGGGGACCACCAGGUUGCCUGAGGAGGAGUGAACUUGUACAGGUCAGAAAUGGAGCGGAUCCAAGGUCCUUGCUAAUCAGUAGUGGCAUCGUGCCUAUGAAUAGCCACUGCACUCCAGCCUGGGC